UGAGAGUAUCUGUCUGGAGAUCUCUGUCUUCCUGAGGCCUUUUGAAGAGUUUUGCAAGAGGAACUACCUUUGAAGAAAGAAGGGAAAGUAUGUACUGUGCUUGGAAAGUGAGAGGUAUCUGGCUUCAAUAUUCUUUGUCUCCAUAUCUGAAAGCUUUUCACAAGAGAUGAGAAGUAAACCAACUUUCCACUGCACUCCACCAAUACAGCUAUUGCUGCAAGCAGCCCCACUUAUUUACAGUGCCUGUUGGUGGAACCUGGCACUAGAGUUUGCACUCAGAGCACCAACAAGAUCUCCCAUCUCUUCAAAAAGAACCACUUAAAACAGAAAACUAUGGGGUUUUUUUGUUUGUUUGUUUGGUUUUUUUUUAAAGAGCUCCUUGAAACAAGCCAAACUUGCAUCUGCACACUUCUUUUUACUGCUCCAUCCCCAGGGAGCAUUUGUACCUCAUUCUCCUCCCUUAGGACUCGAAAUCAAAAUAUUUCUUUUCUGUCAGGCAGCUCACACAGAGAAUUCUGUAAGCUGUAAGCACGGACGAGUAUAUAUUUAGCUUAUCCAAACUCAGUAAGAGACUAAGUGUAGGAGAUAGCUUAGGUAUGGGGCCACGUUGCACCUAGGAGACACCUGGGCUAUAAGCAGCAUCCACCAAGUACUUCUCUAUUUUGUGCCAUACCACAGAGGACAUACACUGUUCCAGUUUCUAUCCCCCCAGUAUAUAUUGAAAUAAAGUUGUCAAACCUCUUGUCCUCUGGAGGCUCCUGGAACAGCUCAGAGCAGAUUGGUCAACCACCACAGGCCUUCAGCUGCUGCCAGCUUCCAUUUGUUUUUCAGCAGCACCUGUGAGAGAAUACACAACUGAUGUGAGCACUCACUUCUUUAUUACUCUUCUCACCAAGUGAGAAGUGCUUCAGCCCUGCUUAACACCUCCUCAGAGCUCUUCCUGCUGCUAUUUCUUCAUCCUCAGGAUCUACUAUCUAUCUAGGUUAUAGAUAUAAUCUGAAACGCAGCUCAGCUCCCAG
RNAcentral lists this long non-coding RNA (1019 nucleotides) under Gallus gallus (chicken). Its description in RNAcentral is "lncRNA (ENSGALG00010020726.1)". The record is from RNAcentral. Lineage: Eukaryota; Metazoa; Chordata; Aves; Galliformes; Phasianidae.